Molecule: long non-coding RNA, 242 nt
Filed under: Lathyrus oleraceus (garden pea)
Lineage: Eukaryota; Viridiplantae; Streptophyta; Magnoliopsida; Fabales; Fabaceae
Description: Pisum sativum (pea) long non-coding RNA (PSAT_LNC001002)
Source: RNAcentral
GGAAUGAAAAAAUAGAAGGAUAAGAGGAAGAAAAAAAUAGAAGGCUAAGAGGAAGAAAAAAAAGGAAUUAUGUUUGUAAUAUUUCAAUACAUACUCCUUCAAAAAAAAUGAAUAAAAAGAGGAAGGAGAAGAGAAAACAAUUGCUAUAGAGUUGUUCAAGUGAAUGGAAUAUUUUGUAAAUUCAACUCCCGCAGUUUCUUUCAAGUCUCUUUUAUCUCUUUGAAUUUUAGCCUAGUACCCCU